AAAAUAAGACGUGAGAAAACUCGAUGGACCAUAAACAGGAUCAUCAAAAAUAACCAAGAUGAUGUCUUUCGACCAAAGAGACCAUCCCUGGAAGUAUUUCAAUAAACUAAUGGCUAAAGCAACGCCGGCCUCAUUAUAUUGCCCAAUAUGAUCUUUCCAAGGGACACAUAGGAGUAGAGACUCAGUAGCAUCACCUCUAGGAGCACGUAAAGUUGUAAUAAAAUUCGAGCCGUUAAACUCCGAUCCGGGAAUAUUAAUUGAGUAGUUUUGUUUCU
Molecule: non-coding RNA, 275 nt
Organism: Schizosaccharomyces pombe (fission yeast)
Lineage: Eukaryota; Fungi; Ascomycota; Schizosaccharomycetes; Schizosaccharomycetales; Schizosaccharomycetaceae
Source: the annotation of a GenBank genome assembly